This 495-nucleotide ribosomal RNA is filed under the name uncultured bacterium. RNAcentral describes it as "partial 16S ribosomal RNA". It matches the Rfam family "Bacterial small subunit ribosomal RNA", at positions 28 to 507 of the family's 1533-position model. The record is from RNAcentral.
GACGAACGCUGGCGGCGUGCCUAAUACAUGCAAGUAGAACGCUGAAGGAGGAGCUUGCUUCUCUGGAUGAGUUGCGAACGGGUGAGUAACGCGUAGGUAACCUGCCUGGUAGCGGGGGAUAACUAUUGGAAACGAUAGCUAAUACCGCAUAAGAGUAGAUGUUGCAUGACAUUUGCUUAAAAGGUGCAAUUGCAUCACUACCAGAUGGACCUGCGUUGUAUUAGCUAGUUGGUGGGGUAACGGCUCACCAAGGCGACGAUACAUAGCCGACCUGAGAGGGGGAGCGGCCACACUGGGACUGAGACACGGCCCAGACUCCUACGGGAGGCAGCAGUAGGGAAUCUUCGGCAAUGGACGGAAGUCUGACCGAGCAACGCCGCGGGAGGGAAGAAGGUUGUCGGAUCGUAAAGCUCUGUUGUAAGAGAAGAACGAGUGUGAGAGUGGAAAGUUCACACUGUGACGGUAUCUUAACAGAAAGGGACGGCUAACUACGUG